GAUGAACGCUGGCGGCGUGCUUAACACAUGCAAGUCGAACGAAGCACUUUAUUUGAUUUCCUUCGGGCCUGCUUCUUUUGUGACUGAGUGGCGGACGGGUGAGUAACGCGUGGGUAACCUGCCUUGUACAGGGGGAUAACAGUUGGAAACGGCUGCUAAUACCGCAUAAGCGCACAGCAUCACAUGCUGCAGUGUGGAAAACUCCGGUGGUAUAAGAUGGACUCGAGUUGGUUUAGGUAGUUGGUGAGGUUACGGGCCAGCCAGGCGACGAUUCAGACCCGAGCGGAGAAGCUGACCGGCCACAUUGGGACUGAGGCACGGCCCAAACUCCUACGGGAGGCAGCAGUGGGGAAUAUUGCACAAUGGGCGAAAGCCUGAUGCAGCGACGCCGCGUGAGCGAAGAAGUAUGUCGGUAUGUAAAGCUCUAUCAGCAGGGAAGAUAAUGACGGUACCUGACGAAGAAGCACCGGCUAAAUACGUG
RNAcentral lists this ribosomal RNA (481 nucleotides) under uncultured bacterium. RNAcentral's name for it is "partial 16S ribosomal RNA". It matches the Rfam family "Bacterial small subunit ribosomal RNA", at positions 28 to 507 of the family's 1533-position model. The record is from RNAcentral.